This 22-nucleotide non-coding RNA is filed under the name Arabidopsis thaliana (thale cress). The record is from RNAcentral. Lineage: Eukaryota; Viridiplantae; Streptophyta; Magnoliopsida; Brassicales; Brassicaceae.
GGUUGUCCGGCGAUGGUGGUUA